Molecule: ribosomal RNA, 498 nt
Filed under: uncultured bacterium
Lineage: Bacteria
Description: partial 16S ribosomal RNA
Rfam family: Bacterial small subunit ribosomal RNA
Source: RNAcentral
AUUGAACGCUGGCGGCAUGCCUUACACAUGCAAGUCGAACGGUAACAGGUCUUCGGAUGCUGACGAGUGGCGAACGGGUGAGUAAUACAUCGGAACGUGCCUAGUAGUGGGGGAUAACUACUCGAAAGAGUGGCUAAUACCGCAUGAGAUCUACGGAUGAAAGCAGGGGAUCGCAAGACCUUGUGCUACUAGAGCGGCCGAUGGCAGAUUAGGUAGUUGGUGGGAUAAAAGCUUACCAAGCCGACGAUCUGUAGCUGGUCUGAGAGGACGAUCAGCAACACUGGGACUGAGACACGGCCCAGACUCCUACGGGAGGCAGCAGUGGGGAAUUUUGGACAAUGGGCGCAAGCCUGAUCCAGCAAUGCCGCGUGCAGGAUGAAGGCCUUCGGGUUGUAAACUGCUUUUGUACGGAACGAAAAGCCCCGGGUUAAUACCCUGGGGUCAUGACGGUACCGUAAGAAUAGGCACCGGCUAACUACGUGCCAGCCGCCGCCGUAA